Molecule: ribosomal RNA, 810 nt
Filed under: Mycobacterium sp. MG2
Lineage: Bacteria; Bacillati; Actinomycetota; Actinomycetes; Mycobacteriales; Mycobacteriaceae
Description: bacterial SSU rRNA
Rfam family: Bacterial small subunit ribosomal RNA
Source: RNAcentral
CUUAACACAUGCAAGUCGAACGGAAAGGCCCUUCGGGGUACUCGAGUGGCGAACGGGUGAGUAACACGUGGGUGAUCUGCCCUGCACUCUGGGAUAAGCCUGGGAAACUGGGUCUAAUACCGGAUAGGACCACACACUUCAUGGUGAGUGGUGCAAAGCUUUUGCGGUGUGGGAUGAGCCCGCGGCCUAUCAGCUUGUUGGUGGGGUAAUGGCCCACCAAGGCGACGACGGGUAGCCGGCCUGAGAGGGUGACCGGCCACACUGGGACUGAGAUACGGCCCAGACUCCUACGGGAGGCAGCAGUGGGGAAUAUUGCACAAUGGGCGCAAGCCUGAUGCAGCGACGCCGCGUGAGGGAUGACGGCCUUCGGGUUGUAAACCUCUUUCAGUAGGGACGAAGCGAAAGUGACGGUACCUACAGAAGAAGGACCGGCCAACUACGUGCCAGCAGCCGCGGUAAUACGUAGGGUCCGAGCGUUGUCCGGAAUUACUGGGCGUAAAGAGCUCGUAGGUGGUUUGUCGCGUUGUUCGUGAAAACUCACAGCUUAACUGUGGGCGUGCGGGCGAUACGGGCAGACUAGAGUACUGCAGGGGAGACUGGAAUUCCUGGUGUAGCGGUGGAAUGCGCAAAUAUCAGGAGGAACACCGGUGGCGAAGGCGGGUCUCUGGACAGUAACUGACGCUGAGGAGCGAAAGCGUGGGUAGCGAACAGGAUUAGAUACCCUGGUAGUCCACGCCGUAAACGGUGGGUACUAGGUGUGGGUUUCCUUCCUUGGGAUCCGUGCCGUAGCUAACGCAUUAAGUACCCCGC